Molecule: ribosomal RNA, 440 nt
Filed under: uncultured bacterium
Lineage: Bacteria
Description: bacterial SSU rRNA
Rfam family: Bacterial small subunit ribosomal RNA
Source: RNAcentral
UGAGGAAUAUUGGUCAAUGGGCGCAAGCCUGAACCAGCCAUGCCGCGUGCAGGAUGAAGCAUCUAUGGUGUGUAAACUGCUUUUAUACGGGAAGAAACAGCUCUACGUGUAGAGCCUUGACGGUACCGUAGGAAUAAGGAUCGGCUAACUCCGUGCCAGCAGCCGCGGUAAUACGGAGGAUCCAAGCGUUAUCCGGAAUCAUUGGGUUUAAAGGGUCCGUAGGCGGCCCUGUAAGUCAGUGGUGAAAUCUCCCCGCUCAACGGGGAAACGGCCAUUGAUACUGCAGGGCUUGAAUUAUUGGGAAGUAACUAGAAUAUGUAGUGUAGCGGUGAAAUGCUUAGAUAUUACAUGGAAUACCGAUUGCGAAGGCAGGUUACUAUCAAUACAUUGACGCUGAUGGACGAAAGCGUGGGUAGCGAACAGGAUUAGAUACCCUGGUA